AUCCUACGGGGCGCAGCAGUGGGGGAUAUUGCACAAUGGAGGAAACUCUGAUGCAGCGACGCCGCGUGGGUGAAGGAGUAUUUCGGUAUGUAAAGCCCUAUCAGCAGGGAAGAACGAUGACGGUACCUGACUAAGAAGCACCGGCUAAAUACGUGCUAGCAGCCGCGGUAAUACGUAUGGUGCAAGCGUUAUCCGGAUUUACUGGGUGUAAAGGGAGCGCAGGCGGCGCGUUAAGCCUGGUGUGAAAGCCCGCGGCCCAACCGCGGGACUGCCUUGGGAACUGGCGCGCUGGAGUGCCGGAGGUG
Molecule: ribosomal RNA, 305 nt
Filed under: uncultured bacterium
Lineage: Bacteria
Description: bacterial SSU rRNA
Rfam family: Bacterial small subunit ribosomal RNA
Source: RNAcentral